This is a long non-coding RNA of Oncorhynchus keta (chum salmon), 559 nucleotides long. RefSeq lists it as uncharacterized. The transcript has 5 exons. NCBI's taxonomy places the organism in Eukaryota, Metazoa, Chordata, Actinopteri, Salmoniformes, Salmonidae. The record is from RefSeq and is a predicted model, not a curated record.
GAGAACUGUUAAAAACACUAAUUAAUUUGAAAAAAAAUCAGUGAAAGGAUUUUUGUUUUUAAACUGGAGAAUUGAUAUUAGAUUAGUCAGGCCGUAUUUUGUUCCCCACCACCAUGACUACUAAAGUGCGCCGUACAAUCUGUCAAAUAAUAAAACAUAUUUUACAGACCAUAGUCUGUCUGGGGCAGUCACAUUUCGACAACUUCGUCGGUUUCAAAGGUUUGCUUUGUGUUCAAGCCCAGUGCCAAAAAGUGGAAGAAGAGGCCAACUGUGGAGGAUUAUUUCGCUCAUGGCAAUGAGGACACAGAGAAUAGCAGACAUUAUUGGAGAAAAUGAAAGCAGACACCGAGUUUCUGCAGGAUGAGCUGAACAGGAUCAUCUUAGACAGCCUAUUGGAGUUUAUCAGAAAGAGUGCCUCCACUUUCCAGCGGGGCACGGGUGACUGGGCAAGAGGAGUGAAUGUGCCAAAUCAUGAAAUUACCUUCCAGAGCUCCUCUAACCAGCUGCAGCAGUCGGUGACUCCUUUUUGUUGUCUCCAUACAAGCCAAAGAGUGUGCAG